RNAcentral lists this ribosomal RNA (1918 nucleotides) under human gut metagenome. RNAcentral's name for it is "bacterial LSU rRNA". It matches the Rfam family "Bacterial large subunit ribosomal RNA", at positions 1 to 1998 of the family's 2925-position model. The record is from RNAcentral.
UGAAGUAAGUAAGGGCGUACGGUGAAUGCCUUGGUGCCAACAGGCGAAGAAGGACGCGGCAAGCUGCGAAAAGCCUCGGGAAGCUGCAAGCAAGCGAUGAUCCGGGGAUAUCCGAAUGGGGUAACCUGAUCGAGGCAAUACUCGAUCGUUCAUACCUGAAUACAUAGGGUAUGAAACGCGAAACCCGCUGAAGUGAAACAUCUCAGUAAGCGGAGGAAAAGAAAGAGAAAUCGAUUCCGUAAGUAGUGGCGAGCGAAAGCGGAUGGAGCCCAAACCGAAGGUAUUCCUUCGGGGUUGUAGGACCACGUCAUAUUCGACCAUACUGGAUAGUAGAACAGCCUGGAAAGGCUGGCCGGAGAAGGUGAAAGCCCUGUAGACGAAAUCCAGAGUGGGAAUUAGUGGUAUCCUGAGUAAUACAUCACACGUGGAACGAUGUAUGAACCCGCGCGGACCACCGCGCAAGGCUAAAUACUAGUUGGCGACCGAUAGUGAACAAGUACCGCGAGGGAAAGGUGAAAAGAACCGCUGUGAGCGGAGUGAAAUAGAACCUGAAACCGUAUGUCUACAAAGUGUCAGAGCAGAGCAAUCUGCGAUGGCGUGCCUUUUGUUUAAUGAGUCUGCGAGUCAGUGUUUGUGGCAAGACUAAGGGCUUCCGGCCCGGAGUCGCAGCGAAAGCAAGUCCGAACAGGGCGCAAUAAGUCGCAGGUACUGGACCCGAAGCGGAGGUGACCUACCCUUGGCCAGGUUGAAGCAUGGGUAAAACCAUGUGGAGGACCGAACAGGUGAACGUUGAAAAGUUCUCUGAUGAGCUGAGGGUAGGAGUGAAAGGCUAAUCAAACCCCGUGAUAGCUGGUUCUCUUCGAAAUGCAUUUAGGUGCAGCGUCACGUGCUGAUGCGCGGGGGUAGAGCACUGACAAGGCUAGGGGGCACACCCGCUUACCAAACCUUAUCAAACUCCGAAUACCGUGCAAUGGAACGUGGCAGUGAGACAGUGGGGGAUAAGCUUCAUUGUCGAGAGGGAAACAACCCAGACCAGCAGCUAAGGUGCCUAAAUAACGCUCAGUGGAAAGGAUGUGGGAUUACACAGACAGUGAGGAUGUUGUCUGAGAGGCAGACACCAUUUAAAAAAUGCGUAAUAGCUUACUCAUCGAGUGAUCCUGCGCCGAAAAUGAUUGGCGAUCAAGCGUUAUACCGAAGCUCUGGACUUUGCCGCAAGGCAGAGUGGUAGAAGAGCGUUGCAUGCGCGUCGAAGGGCGAUGGCGACUGACCCUGGAGCACAUGCAAGUGAGUAUGCAGACAUGAGUAACGUUAAGCCGGGUGAAAUCCCCGGCCGCCGUAAACCCGAGGUUUCCAGGGCAACGUGUUUCGUCCCUGGGUUAGCCGGGACCUAAGCCGAGGCCGAGAGGCGUAGGCGAUGGACAUCAGGUUAAUAAUCCUGAGCUCGCAACCCUUAAACUGGGGGGACGCAUGAGAAAAGAUGACUAGGUUAUUGAAUUCCGAGUUGAGUCCACGGACUCAGCGCAUCAUUGGAUCGAGUGCCAAGAAAAGCCCCAGCGUAUGCUAAGCGACCCGUACCGCAAACCGACACAGGUGGGUGGGUAGAAUAUACCAAGGCGUAAGAGUGAAACCUGGUUAAGGAACUCGGCAAAUUAGCCCCGUAACUUCGGAAGAAGGGGUGCCUGCAGCGAUGCAGGCCGCAGAGAAAUGGCCCAACCGACUGUUUAUCAAAAACACAGCACUCUGCAAAGACGCAAGUCGAAGUAUAGGGUGUGACACGUGACCAAUGCCGAAAGAUUAAGGCAAGGGGUUAGCCGCAAGGCGAAGCUCUAAACCCAAGUCCCGGUGAAUGUCGGCCGUAACUAUAACGGUCCUAAGGUAGCGAAAUUCCUUGUCGGGUAAGUUCCGACCUGCACGAAUC